This 58-nucleotide small RNA is filed under the name Arabidopsis thaliana (thale cress). RNAcentral's name for it is "ATSL162170". Lineage: Eukaryota; Viridiplantae; Streptophyta; Magnoliopsida; Brassicales; Brassicaceae. The record is from RNAcentral.
UAAGCAAACUACUCAGACAUAGAAUCAAGAACAAAGAACAACAUAGAAGAAGACAUCU